Molecule: microRNA precursor, 59 nt
Filed under: Macaca mulatta (Rhesus monkey)
Lineage: Eukaryota; Metazoa; Chordata; Mammalia; Primates; Cercopithecidae
Description: Mml-Mir-430-P29c_pre stem-loop
Source: RNAcentral
ACUCUAAAUGGCAGCACUGUCUGUGGUCUAAAACAAGAUCGUGCAGCCUUUUAGAGUGU